GCCCGGGUGGUGAAACUGGCAGACACACCAUCUUGAGGGGGUGGCGGCUUCGCGCCGUGCGGGUUCAAGUCCCGCCCCGGGCACCA
RNAcentral lists this transfer RNA (86 nucleotides) under Defluviimonas salinarum. RNAcentral's name for it is "tRNA-Leu". It matches the Rfam family "tRNA". Rfam says of the family: Transfer RNA (tRNA) molecules are approximately 80 nucleotides in length. Their secondary structure includes four short double-helical elements and three loops (D, anti-codon, and T loops). Further hydrogen bonds mediate the characteristic L-shaped molecular structure. tRNAs have two regions of fundamental functional importance: the anti-codon, which is responsible for specific mRNA codon recognition, and the 3' end, to which the tRNAs corresponding amino acid is attached (by aminoacyl-tRNA synthetases). tRNAs cope with the degeneracy of the genetic code in two manners: having more than one tRNA (with a specific anti-codon) for a particular amino acid; and 'wobble' base-pairing, i.e. permitting non-standard base-pairing at the 3rd anti-codon position. Lineage: Bacteria; Pseudomonadati; Pseudomonadota; Alphaproteobacteria; Rhodobacterales; Paracoccaceae. The record is from RNAcentral.